This is a non-coding RNA of Hypoxylon sp. FL1284, 93 nucleotides long. The record is from the annotation of a GenBank genome assembly. Lineage: Eukaryota; Fungi; Ascomycota; Sordariomycetes; Xylariales; Hypoxylaceae.
UCUCGAUUCGUCUAGUGGUUAGGAUACCUGCUUGUCAUUCGGGUGCAGAAACUGAAUACGCAGGUGGCCGGGGUUCAAUUCCCCGAUCGAGAG